Long non-coding RNA from Pseudophryne corroboree (corroboree frog), 380 nucleotides. RefSeq lists it as uncharacterized. Lineage: Eukaryota; Metazoa; Chordata; Amphibia; Anura; Myobatrachidae. The record is from RefSeq and is a predicted model, not a curated record. The transcript has 2 exons.
ACUGUCACUGUUUAACAGCUGAGUCUACAGGGGUCCAUACAUCAGGAGUGCAUUGGGCUAAUUCGCAAUUCUCCCUAUGGCUGGGUACCUUUUCAUCCCGAACCUCCAGUGUGUCCUCUUCCGCAAUUUUAUUUUCCAGGGGUUGCUGUGAUAGCCGGGCAGUGGCAGAUCAAUCAGUGAUGUAAAGCAUUGCACGCCAGGCCAUCUCAUCACAAACAGCAAGCAGUUUAUUCACAGUUCAGACAGGGUUAUCAUGACAGAAGCGAUAGUUAUGCUUUAUUUCCCACAUAUCAUUUAGACUUUAAAUAUCUGAGCUUCUGGGAAUGUACAUCAUACAGUGUUAUUUUUCCUUCAGAAAUGUGUAAAUUGUAUUCUUGCCA